This 2903-nucleotide ribosomal RNA is filed under the name Escherichia coli STEC_DG131-3. RNAcentral's name for it is "bacterial LSU rRNA". It matches the Rfam family "Bacterial large subunit ribosomal RNA". The record is from RNAcentral. Lineage: Bacteria; Pseudomonadati; Pseudomonadota; Gammaproteobacteria; Enterobacterales; Enterobacteriaceae.
UUAAGCGACUAAGCGUACACGGUGGAUGCCCUGGCAGUCAGAGGCGAUGAAGGACGUGCUAAUCUGCGAUAAGCGUCGGUAAGGUGAUAUGAACCGUUAUAACCGGCGAUUUCCGAAUGGGGAAACCCAGUGUGAUUCGUCACACUAUCAUUAACUGAAUCCAUAGGUUAAUGAGGCGAACCGGGGGAACUGAAACAUCUAAGUACCCCGAGGAAAAGAAAUCAACCGAGAUUCCCCCAGUAGCGGCGAGCGAACGGGGAGCAGCCCAGAGCCUGAAUCAGUGUGUGUGUUAGUGGAAGCGUCUGGAAAGGCGUGCGAUACAGGGUGACAGCCCCGUACACAAAAUAGCACAUAUUGUGAGCUCGAUGAGUAGGGCGGGACACGUGGUAUCCUGUCUGAAUAUGGGGGGACCAUCCUCCAAGGCUAAAUACUCCUGACUGACCGAUAGUGAACCAGUACCGUGAGGGAAAGGCGAAAAGAACCCCGGCGAGGGGAGUGAAAAAGAACCUGAAACCGUGUACGUACAAGCAGUGGGAGCACAGAGCAAUCUGUGUGACUGCGUACCUUUUGUAUAAUGGGUCAGCGACUUAUAUUCUGUAGCAAGGUUAACCGAAUAGGGGAGCCGAAGGGAAACCGAGUCUUAACUGGGCGUUAAGUUGCAGGGUAUAGACCCGAAACCCGGUGAUCUAGCCAUGGGCAGGUUGAAGGUUGGGUAACACUAACUGGAGGACCGAACGACUAAUGUUGAAAAAUUAGCGGAUGACUUGUGGCUGGGGGUGAAAGGCCAAUCAAACCGGGAGAUAGCUGGUUCUCCCCGAAAGCUAUUUAGGUAGCGCCUCGUGAAUUCAUCUCCGGGGGUAGAGCACUGUUUCGGCAAGGGGGUCAUCCCGACUUACCAACCCGAUGCAAACUGCGAAUACCGGAGAAUGUUAUCACGGGAGACACACGGCGGGUGCUAACGUCCGUCGUGAAGAGGGAAACAACCCAGACCGCCAGCUAAGGUCCCAAAGUCAUGGUUAAGUGGGAAACGAUGUGGGAAGGCCCAGACAGCCAGGAUGUUGGCUUAGAAGCAGCCAUCAUCUAAAGAAAGCGUAAUAGCUCACUGGUCGAGUCGGCCUGCGCGGAAGAUGUAACGGGGCUAAACCAUGCACCGAAGCUGCGGCAGCGACGCUUAUGCGUUGUUGGGUAGGGGAGCGUUCUGUAAGCCUGUGAAGGUGUGCUGUGAGGUAUGCUGGAGGUAUCAGAAGUGCGAAUGCUGACAUAAGUAACGAUAAAGCGGGUGAAAAGCCCGCUCGCCGGAAGACCAAGGGUUCCUGUCCAACGUUAAUCGGGGCAGGGUGAGUCGACCCCUAAGGCGAGGCCGAAAGGCGUAGUCGAUGGGAAACAGGUUAAUAUUCCUGUACUUGGUGUUACUGCGAAGGGGGGACGGAGAAGGCUAUGUUGGCCGGGCGACGGUUGUCCCGGUUUAAGCGUGUAGGCUGGUUUUCCAGGCAAAUCCGGAAAAUCAAGGCUGAGGCGUGAUGACGAGGCACUACGGUGCUGAAGCAACAAAUGCCCUGCUUCCAGGAAAAGCCUCUAAGCAUCAGGUAACAUCAAAUCGUACCCCAAACCGACACAGGUGGUCAGGUAGAGAAUACCAAGGCGCUUGAGAGAACUCGGGUGAAGGAACUAGGCAAAAUGGUGCCGUAACUUCGGGAGAAGGCACGCUGAUAUGUAGGUGAAGCGACUUGCUCGUGGAGCUGAAAUCAGUCGAAGAUACCAGCUGGCUGCAACUGUUUAUUAAAAACACAGCACUGUGCAAACACGAAAGUGGACGUAUACGGUGUGACGCCUGCCCGGUGCCGGAAGGUUAAUUGAUGGGGUCAGCGCAAGCGAAGCUCUUGAUCGAAGCCCCGGUAAACGGCGGCCGUAACUAUAACGGUCCUAAGGUAGCGAAAUUCCUUGUCGGGUAAGUUCCGACCUGCACGAAUGGCGUAAUGAUGGCCAGGCUGUCUCCACCCGAGACUCAGUGAAAUUGAACUCGCUGUGAAGAUGCAGUGUACCCGCGGCAAGACGGAAAGACCCCGUGAACCUUUACUAUAGCUUGACACUGAACAUUGAGCCUUGAUGUGUAGGAUAGGUGGGAGGCUUUGAAGUGUGGACGCCAGUCUGCAUGGAGCCGACCUUGAAAUACCACCCUUUAAUGUUUGAUGUUCUAACGUUGACCCGUAAUCCGGGUUGCGGACAGUGUCUGGUGGGUAGUUUGACUGGGGCGGUCUCCUCCUAAAGAGUAACGGAGGAGCACGAAGGUUGGCUAAUCCUGGUCGGACAUCAGGAGGUUAGUGCAAUGGCAUAAGCCAGCUUGACUGCGAGCGUGACGGCGCGAGCAGGUGCGAAAGCAGGUCAUAGUGAUCCGGUGGUUCUGAAUGGAAGGGCCAUCGCUCAACGGAUAAAAGGUACUCCGGGGAUAACAGGCUGAUACCGCCCAAGAGUUCAUAUCGACGGCGGUGUUUGGCACCUCGAUGUCGGCUCAUCACAUCCUGGGGCUGAAGUAGGUCCCAAGGGUAUGGCUGUUCGCCAUUUAAAGUGGUACGCGAGCUGGGUUUAGAACGUCGUGAGACAGUUCGGUCCCUAUCUGCCGUGGGCGCUGGAGAACUGAGGGGGGCUGCUCCUAGUACGAGAGGACCGGAGUGGACGCAUCACUGGUGUUCGGGUUGUCAUGCCAAUGGCACUGCCCGGUAGCUAAAUGCGGAAGAGAUAAGUGCUGAAAGCAUCUAAGCACGAAACUUGCCCCGAGAUGAGUUCUCCCUGACCCUUUAAGGGUCCUGAAGGAACGUUGAAGACGACGACGUUGAUAGGCCGGGUGUGUAAGCGCAGCGAUGCGUUGAGCUAACCGGUACUAAUGAACCGUGAGGCUUAACCUU